RNAcentral lists this ribosomal RNA (442 nucleotides) under uncultured bacterium. Its description in RNAcentral is "partial 16S ribosomal RNA". It matches the Rfam family "Bacterial small subunit ribosomal RNA", at positions 338 to 795 of the family's 1533-position model. The record is from RNAcentral.
CCUACGGGCGGCAGCAGUGGGGAAUAUUGCACAAUGGGCGAAAGCCUGAUGCAGCAACGCCGCGUGAAGGAAGACGGUUUUCGGAUUGUAAACUUCUAUCAAUAGGGAAGAAAGAAAUGACGGUACCUAAAUAAGAAGCCCGGCUAAAUACGUGCCAAAAGGCCGCGGAAUACGUAGGGGGCAAGCGUUUUCCGGAAUUACUGGGUGUAAAGGGAGAGUAGGCGGCAAGGUAAGCGAUAUGUGAAAGCCUUAAGCUUAAAUAAAGGAUUGCAUAACGAACUAUCUAGCUAGAGUACAGGAGAGGAAAGCGGAAUUCCUAGUGUAGCGGUGAAAUGCGUAGAUAUUAGGAAGAACACCAGUGGCGAAGGCGGCUUUCUGGACUGAAACUGACGCUGAGGCUCGAAAGCGUGGGGAGCGAACAGGAUUAGAUACCCCAGUAGUC